AGGGAGGCCUGCACUCUCUACUUCAAAGCAAAGCAGCAGUGUUAAGUUACCUGAGGAACACAGGAUCAUUUCAAGUCCAGGAGACUGCUUGUCAAAGUUUGUGUCAGUCACUUGGAGAAGGGUGAAUUUUACCCAUCAAGUGCUGAAAAGCUUGUUUUUGUCACUACUUUCACAUCUUUGCCGGGUCGGAUUAAAGGAAAAGGAGAUGGAUUUCAGUGGAGAUGAAGAUCAGGCAUAGGUCGUGGAUAUCGAAGACA
This is a long non-coding RNA of Sinocyclocheilus grahami, 257 nucleotides long. RefSeq lists it as uncharacterized. NCBI's taxonomy places the organism in Eukaryota, Metazoa, Chordata, Actinopteri, Cypriniformes, Cyprinidae. The transcript is spliced from 3 exons. The record is from RefSeq and is a predicted model, not a curated record.